AUGAAGUUUUUCCUGGGAAGAAGCAUAAAAAUGUUGCCUGUUCAUUUAUUGCAACCCCUCGUCAUUCUCUGAAUGAUUUGGAAGACCAGUCUAUAAAACAAGGACAUUGUUUUGAAUGUUGCAUAGUAUCAUGCCUAGCAGAAUGGGAUCAAAAAUGAACACGAAGAAAGACUUCAUUAGAGUAAAAACUCAUUAUAAUGGAGACAUCCUUAUCACCCACUUGGGUGCCUCAAUGAACUAUGAUGAACUUUGUGAUGAAGUGAGAGAAAUGUGCAAUUUAUCACAGGAACAACCAAUUACCCUGAAGUGGAUUGAUAAUGAAGGUGAUCCCUGUACCAUUUCAUCCCAGAUGGAGCUGGAAGAAGCAUUCCGUUUGUAUUGUCGGUACAGAGAUGAAGGGCUUAUUAUUCAUGGCAAGUUUUGAGACUCGUAGUUUAGCAAACAUUUCGAAUGAUAUC
Molecule: long non-coding RNA, 458 nt
Organism: Protobothrops mucrosquamatus (brown spotted pit viper)
Lineage: Eukaryota; Metazoa; Chordata; Lepidosauria; Squamata; Viperidae
Exons: 3
Source: RefSeq, a predicted model, not a curated record